Molecule: long non-coding RNA, 3142 nt
Organism: Pseudopipra pipra
Lineage: Eukaryota; Metazoa; Chordata; Aves; Passeriformes; Pipridae
Exons: 2
Source: RefSeq, a predicted model, not a curated record
GAAGUGCAUUAACAUAUAGUAACAUUAAUAGCACUAGAUCUGUAUAAACUUAAUUAUAUAUGUUACCACAAGUAAACAACCACAGUAUUUCUUACAUGGUAGAUAUACUCUAGUGCCAAGGAUGGCUACAUUGAGGUGCAGAGCAAUGGCCCAGCUGGUCCAUGCAGUUGGCAGUGAAGAGAAUAAGGAGGAGCUUGAGUUGGGACACAGGUCCUGCCUUCGUCACAGGCAGAACUCAGCCCCUUGCUAUCCCUUUCCCAGGGAUGUGGCAUCAGUCCGGCCCCUGAAGUGUUCUGCUGGCACACAGCAGCCUCCAUCCCAGUUGGAUGCCCUGAUAGUCCUACCAGAGCAGCACACAGCAGUAAGGGCUGUCAGCAGAGAAUUUCAAAGCUCAGAAGACCCCACUGCCUUCUUCUGGGAGUUUAUAAAAUUCAUUCAGGUUCAUACCUGUUGUUGUUUUAAGCUCAUUCCUUUCUGAGGAAUGGCUCAGUGCAAGAAAGAAAAGUAGCUGUUUUACUUUUCUCAUAACUAGGAGAAUUCAAUCAUAUAUAAAGAGUGGGACAUCUGUUACAUCUCUCUGACCUCUGAAGCUGGAAGAAGAAGCCAUUCCCCCAUUUAUGGCAUGUCUCCUAUUUUAUUAGAUUCAUGCACAGGCUGUAUCAGCUGUUCCCUGCUUUUUCCCCCGCUCUAACUCUUGAUGGCUCAGACCGAGACCUUUGCAAUGUUUCAAGCCAGCUGAGCCUGGAAACCUCUGGAUGAUCCAGGCAGCGGUUCCCAAACACUCUGUCCCAUCCACUUCCCAUCUCCCGCUGCAGGGCAGCUCUCUGCAGAGGGUGGCAGUGCCAGGGUGAAGCGAUGUGGAACAGGGCUUUUUGGGGAAGCAAAUGUGAGACCCUGGACAGCUUCUGUCCCACAUCUCAACAUCCACGACCCAACAUCAAACAUGUCACUGCAGCCUGAGCCCCCACGGGCCUGAUGGAGGAGCAAAAAGAGAGGGCUGGAGGCAGCAGAUCCUAAUCUUUAUUAAAUAAGAACAAAGCUUAUGCCGGCUAAUGAGAAAAACAAACCGAUGAAAGAUCCGGCGAGCUCCUCAGAAGGACACAAAGAAAUUCUCUCUGAACAAGAGCAGGCUAAAAAUAUUCCUGAAUAUUUAUUUUGCUGGCAGUGUCUUCACAGGCUCCAGAUUUGAUGCCGCCUCUUUGGGGAUUGGCAUGGCCGUCGCAGCGAUUUCGGAGGAGGGUGCUCCAAACUCUGCAUGACGCCCAGAGUGGCGGCAGAAACAGCCCUGCAGCCAAGACAUGACAGCAUGAACUGCCUCAGCACUGUGAGAUGAUGGCCAGUCCCUGCACACCUCUGUUUCUCUACAGGCAACAGGAUGUUUUACUAUGGGUUUACAUCCCUCACCAUCUUGUUUGGAGUCAGUGUGUAAGAGCCAGAGAUGCUGCAGGCAUUUUUCUCCAGUUUCAUUCCCCUUCUCGACACAGGUCCCUGUGCAUGUGGUGCCAAGGCUGCUGUCACCAAGGCUUGCAUUGAUGCUGAGCAUCCUCGGCAUCACAACUUCAGACACAUCAGGAACAACUGGCAAGAAACUGGAGACACUAGUGAUUUUAUCCAGCUUGAGCCCACAAUGUUCCCCCAAAAGAUCUCCAUCACCUGCUGGGCCUUGCCAGCUUCACAUCUCCUCCCUGCAGCAAGCCACAGCCUAAGCAGCAAUCAUCAGCAAAGAUAUGGGCAUCGUUUGCAAGCAAAUCCCAAACCACAUGAAGCUGCCCAGAUUGCAGCUUCAUUGUAACAUGUAGUGUUACAAACUCCAAAGCCCAGACCACGCCCUGGGAACCACCAGGGCAGGGAGUGUUUCAGGAGGUCGUGAUCAACCCAGCAUGGGCUGUGAACCCCAGAGAGUAAACCUGCACCCACACAGCGGUUUGCAGAAAUUCAGUCAGCCUGACUGUUUCGCAUCUCCUGCCCUUCCCACUGGCCCCUAAAACCCCUGUCCAGCCUGUUGUUUCCAGAGAUGUUUAGCAGGAGGUGAUGCCAUCACAGCACUGGGUCAGACCACCCAGCUGGGACAGGCAGCUGUGGGGGCUGCUCUGAAAUCAACUCCCAGCUUCACAGCUGCCCCCACUCUCCCAUACAGGCUGAGCCCCAAACCUUAGCAUUGAGUACCACUGACCUUGGCUGAAAACAUUGCUUCUAAAGGCAAAAGCAAUGCAGUGACAAGGCCUGCAGUUCCUCCUCCGCUUCUGCUGUCGCUGACCAUGAAACUUCAGCCUCUGCUCUGUUAAUGUACUGUGGCUGAACUUGCUGCCAGCGGGUCAAAGGGAACAUAAUUUACUCGGGCUUUGAUGCAUUUGAUACAGUUUGGGGUGAAAAGGGAGAGGGGGAGGACAGGAGACGAAGGGGAUAAGCAGUGGCAGGGAAGGAAAGAGGUUGCCUGUUUGCAUGGGAACUGGAUUAGUAUGAAGAUGACAGAGCCAUUUUCUAGCCAAGAGGGAUUUAGUGAUAACCAAGAGGGUUUUGACUGGAGUGGGGGCUCCCUGUGCUCAGAUCAGUGUGGUGGGUAGGAGGCAGCCUAAGUGUUUGUCUGCAAGGCACUUUUUAUCUCUUUCCCUGAUUAUGAGAUUGGCAAGGGGAGGGAGGUGUUUGUAUUCUGUAUUGCCUGAAGAGUCCUUAUACUGCUCAGGCAGGACCAUGGCAUGGUCACAGUUCCCUUCCUGGCAGCUAGCUCUCAUCGUGUUUGCAUCUCCUUAACCCUCUCCUCAUCUUAGACCCUUUACCAGCUGCAUCAUGAAGCCUCUCUCCCUAUUUUCCUGCUGGAAGGAAGCUAUAAGGCAUGGAACAGGAGCGAAGAGGCCGGGAGGAAGCGAAGCGAUGUGGCUGCUGUGGUUUCAGUUCUCACUCCACCUCGCUACUGAGAAACUGGACCUGUGGUUUGGUUUGUGGCUGGGGGGAAAGAGGAAUGGUCCUUGGAUCUGAUCCCCACUGGGAAGGCUCUCUCAGUCCCACAGACACACCAGCAACACCGAUGGGGACUGGAGGAAGAGGAGAGAAAACCAGCCCCUGAUAAACCCCACUCCAGCAGCUCCUGGUGCAUUAAUAUUCACCACAGAGCGAGGGGUGUAAAUUCACUGCUAUCUCCUCA